UAGGGAAUCUUCCGCAAUGGACGAAAGUCUGACGGAGCAACGCCGCGUGAGUGAUGAAGGUUUUCGGAUUGUAAAGCUCUGUUGUUAGGGAAGAACAAGUACCGUUCGAAUAGGGCGGUACCUUGACGGUACCUAACCAGAAUAAGCAUCGGCUAACUCCGUGCCAGCAGCCGCGGUAAUACGGAGGAUGCGAGCGUUAUCCGGAUUCAUUGGGUUUAAAGGGUGCGUAGGCGGACUAUUAAGUCAGUGGUGAAAUCCUGCAGCUUAACUGCAGAACUGCCAUUGAUACUGAUAGCCUUGAGUUUGGUUAAGGUAGGCGGAAUGUGUAAUGUAGCGGUGAAAUGCUUAGAUAUUACACAGAACACCAAUUGCGUAGGCAGCUUACUGAGCCGACACUGACGCUGAGGCACGAAAGCGUGGGGAUCGAACA
RNAcentral lists this ribosomal RNA (430 nucleotides) under uncultured prokaryote. RNAcentral describes it as "bacterial SSU rRNA". It matches the Rfam family "Bacterial small subunit ribosomal RNA", at positions 355 to 774 of the family's 1533-position model. The record is from RNAcentral.